GACGAACGCUGGCGGCGUGCUUAACACAUGCAAGUCGAGCGGUAAGGCCCUUUCGGGGGUACACGAGCGGCGAACGGGUGAGUAACACGUGGGUGACCUGCCCUCAGCUCUGGGAUAAGCCUGGGAAACCGGGUCUAAUACUGGAUAUGACUCCAUGACGCAUGUUGUGGGGUGGAAAGCCUUGUGCGGCUGAGGAUGGGCCCGCGGCCUAUCAGCUUGUUGGUGGGGUGANGGCCUACCAAGGCGACGACGGGUAGCCGGCCUGAGAGGGCGACCGGCCACACUGGGACUGAGACACGGCCCAGACUCCUACGGGAGGCAGCAGUGGGGAAUCUUGCGCAAUGGGUGAAAGCCUGACGCAGCGACGCCGCGUGUGGGAUGACGGCCUCGG
This 391-nucleotide ribosomal RNA is filed under the name uncultured bacterium. RNAcentral's name for it is "bacterial SSU rRNA". It matches the Rfam family "Bacterial small subunit ribosomal RNA", at positions 28 to 420 of the family's 1533-position model. The record is from RNAcentral.